Molecule: ribosomal RNA, 253 nt
Filed under: uncultured bacterium
Lineage: Bacteria
Description: partial 16S ribosomal RNA
Rfam family: Bacterial small subunit ribosomal RNA
Source: RNAcentral
UACGUAGGGGGCAAGCGUUGUCCGGAAUCAUUGGGCGUAAAGAGCGUGUAGGCGGUUCGAUAAGUCGGCUGUGAAAGUCCAGGGCUCAACCCUGGGAUGCCGGUCGAAACUGUCGGACUAGAGUUCGGAAGAGGCGAGUGGAAUUCCCGGUGUAGCGGUGAAAUGCGCAGAUACCGGGAGGAACACCAAUGGCGAAGGCAGCUCGCUGGGACGUUACUGACGCUGAGACGCGAAAGCGUGGGGAGCAAACAGG